AGAAUGGUUGAGGUCUUAGUAUGCACUCAAAAUUGGUUGAAGGCUUCUCUGAACUUCGAUGGUUUUUGCAUGGAAGAUGUUGAGAAUUACAACCGAAUGGAUGAACUUUUAGAAUCAAUGAAUUCAAAAUCAACUGAAGAUGACCAAGGGCCCAAUGCUAAGUGAUUCAUUUCAUUUUACAUGGUUUCACUUUUGAGAUAGGCAUAUUAAUCUGUCAAUAAUUUCAUGAUUUGUAUAUUUCCAGCAGUUUUCUAAUUUCUGUAGAACUGAUUUGUACAAUUUUUAUGCUAACAUGACA
RNAcentral lists this long non-coding RNA (298 nucleotides) under Olea europaea subsp. europaea. Lineage: Eukaryota; Viridiplantae; Streptophyta; Magnoliopsida; Lamiales; Oleaceae. The record is from RNAcentral.